UGCAGGGACCGCCUGGUGCCCCAAGCUCCUUAUGGCCCUAGUGAAUCUCUCAGGGAUGGGUAGCUGACAACCAAGCAAAUCAGAGUCCUCUCUGGAACUUGUCUGGCAAAAUUCUCAAGGAGGAUCCACUCUGUACGUGAAGGAUAUUAUGAGUGUAUUUGUAUAUUUUUAAAUAUGGACUUCGCACUCUAGAGAAGCCUGGAAGAAUGGAGGAAGAGGGGAGUGCUUUACAACUCCAUCCAUCUGUGAUGGUUAAUGACUCAAAGCACAGGCUCUUCGCUGGCCGUGUUUCUACAGCGCCACCAAGCUUGGAGUCCCCAUCUGUGGCUGCAUGGCUCUGUGCACUCAGGGGUGAGCACCCCAGACAGCAUUUGGAUGGAACCUCCCCUCUGUCUGGAACAUCCCAUGAAACAAUUAAAAUAAAAUAAAG
Molecule: long non-coding RNA, 430 nt
Filed under: Vulpes vulpes (red fox)
Lineage: Eukaryota; Metazoa; Chordata; Mammalia; Carnivora; Canidae
Description: lncRNA (ENSVVUG00000002904.1)
Source: RNAcentral